GCUAUCCUUUGUCGGUAGGAAGCCAUUCUCACGGUAGCUCGUUUCCUACUCUUCUCAACCAGGUCAAGCUUGGUACACGACCAUUCUGAGUUGGUGUCCUCGUUAUACUCCUUGAUCCUAAGGGAAGGAAGUCCAAUUUCAAUUGGUAUGACGGCUUCGAUUUUGAAUGCAAAGUUGAAUGGAGUUUCAUCGAUCUGAAUCCUCUGAGU
RNAcentral lists this long non-coding RNA (209 nucleotides) under Elaeis guineensis (African oil palm). Its description in RNAcentral is "long non-coding RNA (EGUI_LNC031922)". Lineage: Eukaryota; Viridiplantae; Streptophyta; Magnoliopsida; Arecales; Arecaceae. The record is from RNAcentral.